This 75-nucleotide transfer RNA is filed under the name Candidatus Woesearchaeota archaeon. RNAcentral's name for it is "tRNA-Val". It matches the Rfam family "tRNA". Rfam says of the family: Transfer RNA (tRNA) molecules are approximately 80 nucleotides in length. The record is from RNAcentral. Lineage: Archaea; Nanobdellati; Candidatus Woesearchaeota.
GGGUUUGCCGCCCUUCCUGCGUAUGACGCCACCUUCACACGGUGGAGGUCCCCGGUUCGAGUCCGGGCAGGCCCA